ACUCCUACGGGAGGCAGCAGUGGGGAAUUUUGGACAAUGGGCGCAAGCCUGAUCCAGCAAUGCCGCGUGCAGGAUGAAGGCCUUCGGGUUGUAAACUGCUUUUGUACGGAACGAAACGGUCGCUUUUAAUAAAGGUGGCUAAUGACGGUACCGUAAGAAUAAGCACCGGCUAACUACGUGCCAGCAGCCGCGGUAAUACGGAGGGUGCAAGCGU
This 214-nucleotide ribosomal RNA is filed under the name uncultured organism. Its description in RNAcentral is "partial 16S ribosomal RNA". It matches the Rfam family "Bacterial small subunit ribosomal RNA", at positions 335 to 541 of the family's 1533-position model. The record is from RNAcentral.